This 304-nucleotide ribosomal RNA is filed under the name uncultured Vibrio sp. RNAcentral describes it as "bacterial SSU rRNA". It matches the Rfam family "Bacterial small subunit ribosomal RNA", at positions 30 to 334 of the family's 1533-position model. The record is from RNAcentral. Lineage: Bacteria; Pseudomonadati; Pseudomonadota; Gammaproteobacteria; Vibrionales; Vibrionaceae.
AUUGAACGCUGGCGGCAGGCUUAACACAUGCAAGUCGAGCGGUAACAGGUCCUUCGGGAUGCUGACGAGCGGCGGACGGGUGAGUAAUGCCUAGGAAAUUGCCUUGAUGUGGGGGAUAACCAUUGGAAACGAUGGCUAAUACCGCAUAAUGCCUACGGGCCAAAGAGGGGGACCUUCGGGCCUCUCGCGUCAAGAUAUGCCAAGGUGGGAUUAGCUAGUUGGUGAGGUAAUGGCUCACCAAGGCGACGAUCCCUAGCUGGUCUGAGAGGAUGAUCAGCCACACUGGAACUGAGACACGGUCCAG